AAGUCGUAACAAGGUUUCCGUAGGUGAACCUGCGGAAGGAUCAUUCGCAAUAAAUGGGUUUUUUAUAAUUCAUAGAAGAAAAAAAAAUCCCUUACCACCUUGAGUGCAAUGUAUGAGAAAAGGGGCCAUUUGGCUUGUCUGAAAUAAACAUAUUCUUUGAAUAACUUAAUUCAAUAAUACAACUUUCAACAACGGAUCUCUUGGCUCUC
This 209-nucleotide unclassified non-coding RNA is filed under the name fungal sp. RNAcentral describes it as "partial internal transcribed spacer region". The stretch from base 1 to 46 matches the Rfam family "Eukaryotic small subunit ribosomal RNA", at positions 1786 to 1831 of the family's 1831-position model. Lineage: Eukaryota; Fungi. The record is from RNAcentral.